UUCCGCUUGAUCCUGCCGGACCCGACUGCUAUCAGAGUGGGACUAAGCCAUGCGAGUCAACGCCGCAAGGCGUGGCAUACGGCUCAGUAACACGUAGUCAACAUGCCCAAAGGACGUGGAUAACCUCGGGAAACUGAGGAUAAACCGCGAUAGACCAAGGUUUCUGGAAUGAGCCAUGGUCGAAACCUAUAUGGCCCCUGGAUUGGACUGCGGCCGAUCAGGCUGUUGGUGAGGUAAUGGCCCACCAAACCUGUAACCGGUACGGGCUUUGAGAGAAGGAGCCCGGAGAUGGGCACUGAGACAAGGGCCCAGGCCCUAUGGGGCGCAGCAGGCGCGAAAACUCUGCAAUAGGCGAAAGCCUGACAGGGUUACUCUGAGUGAUGUCCGCUGAGGGCAUCUUUUGGCACCUCUAAAAAUGGUGCAGUAUAAGGGGUGGGCAAGUCUGGUGUCAGCCGCCGCGGUAAUACCAGCACCCCGAGUGGUCGGGACGAUUAUUGGGCCUAAAGCAUCCGUAGCUUGUCCUGCAAGUCCUCCGUUAAAUCCACCUGCUUAACAGAUGGGCUGCGGAGGAUACUACAGGGCUAGGAGGCGGAGAGAGGCAAACGGUACUCAGUGGGUAGGGGUAAAAUCCUCUGAUCCACUGAAUACCUCCAGUGUAUUAAGGAAGGUUUGGCAACAAGCGCUCGAAGGAGAAAGGAUGAACGGAUGGGCUGAACAAGCCUCAUAUUUAAACGAAAUCUAAUCCAGCUAUUAGGACAGGCGAAAUCUGGAAAAACCUUUAAGAUAGAACUGAAGACUGAAAUGAAUUUUGAUACUUAAAAACAUUAAUGGAAACGCUGAUCCUG
This 845-nucleotide ribosomal RNA is filed under the name uncultured archaeon. Its description in RNAcentral is "bacterial SSU rRNA". The stretch from base 1 to 746 matches the Rfam family "Archaeal small subunit ribosomal RNA". The record is from RNAcentral.